Molecule: ribosomal RNA, 253 nt
Filed under: uncultured bacterium
Lineage: Bacteria
Description: partial 16S ribosomal RNA
Rfam family: Bacterial small subunit ribosomal RNA
Source: RNAcentral
UACGGGGGGGGCAAGCGUUGUUCGGAAUUACUGGGCGUAAAGGGCUCGUAGGCGGCCAACUAAGUCAGACGUGAAAUCCCUCGGCUUAACCGGGGAACUGCCGUCCAAACUGCUUCGCUUGAGACCGGGAGAGGUGAGUGGAAUUCCCAGUGUAGCGGUGAAAUGCGUAGAUAUUGGGAGGAACACCAGUGGCGAAGGCGGCUCACUGGACCGGUACUGACGCUGAUGCGCGAAAGCGUGGGGAGCAAACGGG